Molecule: ribosomal RNA, 449 nt
Filed under: uncultured bacterium
Lineage: Bacteria
Description: partial 16S ribosomal RNA
Rfam family: Bacterial small subunit ribosomal RNA
Source: RNAcentral
AACGAACGCUGGCGGCAUGCCUAACACAUGCAAGUCGAACGAAGCCUUCGGGCUUAGUGGCGCACGGGUGCGUAACGCGUGGGAACCUGCCUUUCGGUUCGGAAUAACAGUUAGAAAUGACUGCUAAUACCGGAUGAUGUCUUCGGACCAAAGAUUUAUCGCCGAAAGAUGGGCCCGCGUAGGAUUAGCUAGUUGGUGGGGUAAAGGCUCACCAAGGCGACGAUCCUUAGCUGGUCUGAGAGGAUGAUCAGCCACACUGGGACUGAGACACGGCCCAGACUCCUACGGGAGGCAGCAGUGGGGAAUAUUGGACAAUGGGCGAAAGCCUGAUCCAGCAAUGCCGCGUGAGUGAUGAAGGCCUUAGGGUUGUAAAGCUCUUUUACCAGGGAUGAUAAUGACAGUACCUGGAGAAUAAGCUCCGGCUAACUCCGUGCCAGCCGCCGCCGUAA